GCUGACGUAGCUCAGUUGGUAGAGCACAUCCUUGGUAAGGAUGAGGUCACCGGUUCAAUCCCGGUCGUCAGCUCAA
Molecule: transfer RNA, 76 nt
Filed under: Ignavibacteria bacterium GWB2_35_6b
Lineage: Bacteria; Pseudomonadati; Ignavibacteriota; Ignavibacteria
Also listed under: 26 other names
Description: tRNA-Thr
Rfam family: tRNA
About the family: Transfer RNA (tRNA) molecules are approximately 80 nucleotides in length. Their secondary structure includes four short double-helical elements and three loops (D, anti-codon, and T loops).
Source: RNAcentral